Non-coding RNA from Oryza glumipatula, 197 nucleotides. Lineage: Eukaryota; Viridiplantae; Streptophyta; Magnoliopsida; Poales; Poaceae. The record is from Rfam.
UCCUAGAAAUACCCUAGUUUUGUCUAACAUUUGACCGUCCGUCUUAUUUAAAAAAAAAUUAUGAUUAGUAUUUUUAUUAUUAUUAGAUGAUAAAAUAUGAAUAGUACUUUAUGUGUGAUUAAUUUUCUAAUAUAAUUUUCAAAUAAGACAGACGGUCAAAUUUUAAACGUGACAUUAAAUUUAUAACUGCACUUAAA